Molecule: ribosomal RNA, 508 nt
Filed under: uncultured Glomus
Lineage: Eukaryota; Fungi; Glomeromycota; Glomeromycetes; Glomerales; Glomeraceae
Description: SSU rRNA
Rfam family: Eukaryotic small subunit ribosomal RNA
Source: RNAcentral
AGCAGCCGCGGUAAUUCCAGCUCCAAUAGCGUAUAUUAAAGUUGUUGCAGUUAAAAAGCUCGUAGUUGAAUUUUGGGAUUAGUAUGCUGGUCGUGCCAUCGGUAUAUACUGGUGUUACUGGUUCCUACCUUCUGACGAACCGUCAUGUCAUUAAUUUGGUGUGGCGGGGAAUCAGGACUGUUACUUUGAAAAAUUAGAGUGUUUAAAGCAGGCUCGCGCUUGAAUACAUUAGCAUGGAAUAAUGAAAUAGGACGUUCGAUCCUAUUUUGUUGGUUUCUAGGAUUGACGUAAUGAUUAAUAGGGAUAGUUGGGGGCAUUAGUAUUCAAUUGUCAGAGGUGAAAUUCUUGGAUUUAUUGAAGACUAACUACUGCGAAAGCAUUUGCCAAGGAUGUUUUCAUUAAUCAAAACGAAGUUAGGGGAUCGAAGACGAUCAGAUACCGUCGUAGUCUUAACCAUAAACUAUGCCGACUAGGGAUCGGAUGAUGUUAUUUUUAAUGACUCAUUCGG